GAUGAACGCUGGCGGCGUGCCUAAUACAUGCAAGUCGAGCGAAAGGACGCGACGCUUGCUUCUCUGAUGUUUGCGGCGGACGGGUGAGUCACACGUGGAUACCCUACCUGUAAGACUGGGAUCACUUCGGGAAACCGUAGCUUAUACCGGAUAAUCUUUUGCACCGCAUGGUUGAAAAGUGAAAGACGGUCUUGCUGUCUCUUCUAGCUGGAUCUGCGCUGCAUUAGCUGGUUGGUAAGGUAACGGCUUACCAAGGCAACGAUGCAUAGCCGACCGGAGAGGCGGAUCGGCCACAUGGGAAGGGAGACACGGUCCAGACUCCUGCGGGAGGCAGCAGUAGGGAAUCUGCCGCAAAGGGCGAAAGCCUUACGGAGCAACGGCGCGUGAGUGAUGAAGGUCUUGGGAUCGGAAAACUCUGUUAUGAGGGAAGAACAUAUGUGUAAUGAACUGUGCACAGCGUGACGGUACCUAAUCAGAAAGCCACGGCUAACUACGUG
RNAcentral lists this ribosomal RNA (497 nucleotides) under uncultured bacterium. RNAcentral describes it as "partial 16S ribosomal RNA". It matches the Rfam family "Bacterial small subunit ribosomal RNA", at positions 28 to 507 of the family's 1533-position model. The record is from RNAcentral.